UACGUAGGGGGCUAGCGUUGUCCGGAAUCAUUGGGCGUAAAGAGCGCGUAGGCGGCUGGAAUAGUCCGGUGUGAAAUCCACAGGCUUAACCUGUGAAUGCCGCUGGAAACUGUCUGGCUAGAGUCCGGAAGGGGCGAGUGGAAUUCCUGGUGUAGCGGUGAAAUGCGCAGAUAUCAGGAGGAACACCAAUGGCGAAGGCAGCUCGCUGGGACGGUACUGACGCUGAGGCGCGAAGGCGUGGGGAGCGAACAGG
This 253-nucleotide ribosomal RNA is filed under the name uncultured bacterium. RNAcentral's name for it is "partial 16S ribosomal RNA". It matches the Rfam family "Bacterial small subunit ribosomal RNA", at positions 524 to 776 of the family's 1533-position model. The record is from RNAcentral.